UACCUGCAGCUCAAGUGGUGACCAUUAUUAUUGGGCCUAAAACGUUCGUAGCCGGUUUAAUAAAUGCCUGGGUAAAUCGUGUAGCUUAACUAUACGAAUUCCGGGUAGACUGUUAAACUUGAGACCGGGAGAAGCUAGAGGUACUCUUGGGGUAGAGGUAAAAUUCUGUAAUCCCAGGGGGACCACCAGUGGCGAAGGCGUCUAGCUAGAACGGGUCUGACGGUGAGGGACGAAGCCCUGGGGCGCAAACCGGAUUAGAUACCCGGGUAGUCCAGGGUGUAAACGCUGCUCGCUUGAUGUUAGUUGGGCUCCGAGCCCAAUUAGUGUCGGAGAGAAGUUGUUAAGCGAGCUGCCUGGGAAGUACGGUCGCAAGACUGAAACUUAAAGGAAUUGGCGGGGAGCACCACGAAGGGUGAAGCCUGCGGUUC
RNAcentral lists this ribosomal RNA (428 nucleotides) under uncultured archaeon. Its description in RNAcentral is "bacterial SSU rRNA". It matches the Rfam family "Archaeal small subunit ribosomal RNA", at positions 474 to 903 of the family's 1478-position model. The record is from RNAcentral.